Small nucleolar RNA from Danio aesculapii, 99 nucleotides. RefSeq annotates it as Z30 small nucleolar RNA. The record is from RefSeq and is a predicted model, not a curated record. The transcript has a single exon. NCBI's taxonomy places the organism in Eukaryota, Metazoa, Chordata, Actinopteri, Cypriniformes, Danionidae.
CUGCGAUGAUGAGUGAAAGAAUGUAUCUUGACUUGGUAUUGUUGCUUUUUUGGCAUCAUUGACCAAGGUCUGAUAGAGUUUAAUCUUCUCUCUGAGCUG